UGUAAUAAGCUCAUCAAUUGAUCAUACUGUUGUCUGCUCAACCCUGGUAUCACAGAACUCUAGCCAUCUAUGUUUGUACCAGAUUGAUGGCUUUGAGGAGGAUUCCCUUGGGGAAUAGACACAUGUCCUUCAGAAGGAGGAAAAUCCACACCACCAGUAAGAUGAGCAGCAGCAGUUCUCCUACCCUUGUUAAAUGUUGUAUUUUGUGGAUACCCAUGAAUCUUGAAACACUUAUCAAUUAAGUGCCCAGAUUUUUUGCAGUAUCUACAGAAUAAAGGCCCUCUAGCUUGGUCAAAAUUGACUCUUUGUAAAGUAGGAGAAGGAUUAGGCACUGUGGCAUUAUUGAAUCCAACUUAAUGUCUAUUAGUGUUGACAUUGAAAGACAUAGAGUCUGGAUUAAACUGAGAAGGGGACUGGACUUGUCUCUGCUUCUCNN
RNAcentral lists this long non-coding RNA (436 nucleotides) under Nicotiana benthamiana. Its description in RNAcentral is "long non-coding RNA (NBEN_LNC027191)". Lineage: Eukaryota; Viridiplantae; Streptophyta; Magnoliopsida; Solanales; Solanaceae. The record is from RNAcentral.